Molecule: ribosomal RNA, 460 nt
Filed under: uncultured bacterium
Lineage: Bacteria
Description: partial 16S ribosomal RNA
Rfam family: Bacterial small subunit ribosomal RNA
Source: RNAcentral
CCUACGGGUGGCAGCAGUGAGGAAUAUUGGUCAAUGGACGAAAGCCUGAACCAGCCAAGUAGCGUGAAGGAUGACUGCUCUAUGGGUUGUAAACUUCUUUUAUAAGGGAAUAAAACGAGGCACGUGUGCCUUUUUGUAUGUACUUUAUGAAUAAGGAUCGGCUAACUCCGUGCCAGCAGCCGCGGUAAUACGGAGGAUCCGAGCGUUAUCCGGAUUUAUUGGGUUUAAAGGGAGCGUAGGUGGGUUGUUAAGUCAGUUGUGAAAGUAUGUGGCUCAACCGUAGAAUUGCAAUUGAUACUGGCAGUCUUGAGUACAGGUGAGGUAGGCGGAAUGCGUGGUGUAGCGGUGAAAUGCUUAGAUAUCACGAAGAACCCCGAUGGCGAAGGCAGCUUACUAAACUGUGACUGACACUGAUGCGCGAAAGCGUGGGGAUCAAACAGGAUUAGAUACCCGUGUAGUC